GGGCCCGCACAAGCGGAGGAACAUGUGGUUUAAUUCGAUGAUACGCGAGGAACCUUACCCGGGUUUGAACGCGGCGGGACGUACGGUAAAAGCCGUAUUUCAGCAAUGACCGGCCGCGAGGUGCUGCAUGGUUGUCGUCAGCUCGUGCCGUGAGGUGUAGGCUUAAGUGCCAUAACGAGCGCAACCCCUAUCGUUAGUUGCCAGCGUGUAAUGACGGGGACUCUAGCGAGACUGCCGGCGCAAGCUGUGAGGAAGGUGGGGAUGACGUCAAAUCAGCACGGCCCUUACAUCCGGGGCGACACACGUGUUACAAUGGCAGGGACAAAGGGCAGCUACCGCGCGAGCGGAUGCUAAAUCUCUAAAACCCUGUCUCAGUUCGGAUCGGAGUCUGCAACUCGACUCCGUGAAGCUGGAUUCGCUAGUAAUCGCGCAUCAGCCAUGGCG
This 444-nucleotide ribosomal RNA is filed under the name uncultured Bacteroidota bacterium. RNAcentral describes it as "bacterial SSU rRNA". It matches the Rfam family "Bacterial small subunit ribosomal RNA", at positions 917 to 1359 of the family's 1533-position model. Lineage: Bacteria; Pseudomonadati; Bacteroidota. The record is from RNAcentral.